Long non-coding RNA from Papaver somniferum (opium poppy), 1670 nucleotides. RefSeq lists it as uncharacterized. The transcript is spliced from 7 exons. The record is from RefSeq and is a predicted model, not a curated record. Lineage: Eukaryota; Viridiplantae; Streptophyta; Magnoliopsida; Ranunculales; Papaveraceae.
AAUAUCCCCCAGAGAAAAACUUAACCCUUACCUAUCUGGCUAUCUUGAAUCCUUGAUUCCAAAAUCAAGAGACACUUAGAUUUCGGAAUCUUCUUUUUCGAAUUUUAUUGAUUCAUUUGUAUCUAGGAUUAUCAUUGAUAUAUAGGUCCAGAUUUCAUUAGUGUGGAGUUCAUUUGAAUGCGGAAGGUUAGGGUUCUAUUAAUAUCUUCAUCGGAAAAGCAAUUGCUAAGGUUAAACUUUGAUUUCACCUCUUAAUCUUCUGGUUUCGUUGCGAUUUUCCAAUGUAUGUGAUAAGAAACUAGGGUUUUGAUGUUUCCUUCGGGCUGUAUAGAUGCUGGUAGUUUGUUUAGAAAUGGAUCUUCCUGGUUUAGCCAUCAUACUUCAAGCCGUUCUUACUCCUGAAACCGGACAAAGAAAAGCUGCUGAAGGAAGUCUUCAACAGGAAUGUGACUGGAAAGGCCAUAGAUAUGCUGGUAAGAGACCUGAAGGUUUUAUAGGCAUUUGACGAAAAGGUGUUUUCGGGUACGACCGGACUCUUGGGAUUGAAGAACUUCAGAUGGAGGAUAAGGCAAUGGAGGCGGCAGCCAUAAUGGGGAUCACAAGAGGAACUUAUUUCAGUUAGCGGAAGACUUGGUGUGGCGUCAGUAUGGCCCCUGCUACAGAUGGGAAAGAUCAAUUUGCCACCAAGGACGUAGUAUCAUUGAUAUCGGAAUCAGCUGAAUACAAGUGGAUUACUUGAAUAGUAUUGAAGCAGCAGAGCUGAUAAAGCAAGGCCUAUGGUUUGGAUAGAGAAGUGGAUUCACCACCUCAAGGCUGGAAUGCUCAAGAUUGAGACCAGGUUGGUGAAGAUGCAAAAUGAUCAUUGAAUCUUCUGUCAAUACAGCCUCUUUUAUGUGAUUACUCGUCUCUGUUACAACUCAAAUAGACAAGCAGCGAGGAAAUAAAUCUGUUGACGACAAAACCAAAAUUUUCUCUGAUUAGUUUGCUGAUAUUAUAGCAUUCUCCCUUUUCCUCUGGUUCAUUAUUUACCGGUUGGACCACUAUCUUACGAAAAUGUGUCUAAAGACUAAGGCCCAGUUUUGCAAAGAUGAAGUGGAAAAGCUUCAUCUGAAAAUCAAAGAAAAGGAAGAAAAAGCUUUCAAGAAAAUCAAAGAGAAGGAAGAAAAAGCUUUAAAGGAAAGAAGAUUGUUAAAUCAAGAAGUCUUCUAACUGAAAGAGGAUUUGAGAAUCUGAAGAAAAGGAUAGACGGGCACUUGCAGCAGAAUCUAAUGUUGCCUCCCUUCAGAAGCAAUCUAACGACCAACCAAGCAAAAAAUUAGUACCUUGAGGGUAUAUGCUUUACCCAUAUGCUUUUGUAAGAUUGUUUGUUCGGCUGUUAUGCAACUUACUUCGAACGAGACCACUACUUCUUACCCAAAAGCUCCAUGGGCCGUUUUGAAGACUAAACAAUCCGCGGAUUUAACCGGGACCAACCGUAUUUGUGCGGAUGGAUGCUCGGACCGUUCGCUAAUGGGUUAGAUGCGGAUGGAAUUUUUGAAAUCCAACGGAUUACGGAUUGGAUCCGGAUGCAACCUUGAAAAUCCGUUGGACAUUUUCAUAGGUGUUUGCUUGGAGUGUUGUCCAACACACUUCCAUAUUCAUAUACACUUCUAUAUUCAUAUAGAUAUAUA